AAAAAAAAAGCAGAAAAGAAGAACUGAAGAAAAACCAUAAACUCCCACAAUGAAUGAACAAACACAGUGAAAGAACGAAAGUUGACUGAUGAUUAUCAUAUCAAACUCUCUGCGGAUUGUCGUAUUGCCUUUUCUUCUCUCCUACACACUUGCUUCCAUACUUAUAAGUAAGUGCGUUUCCUCACAUUUUCAUGAUCUCAAUACUGGGUAGUAGUUAAUAGAAAAAGGGAGUCAAAAUGGAAGAAAACUAAUUAACAAACCUAAACUCAUUUCCAAAGCUCUGCAGAAAAAGAUCAAUAAGAUAGAGGCACCAUCAUAAUUAAUAAAACCCUAUACUCAUAGAGACGAAGGAA
This 353-nucleotide long non-coding RNA is filed under the name Manihot esculenta (cassava). RNAcentral's name for it is "long non-coding RNA (MESC_LNC000744)". Lineage: Eukaryota; Viridiplantae; Streptophyta; Magnoliopsida; Malpighiales; Euphorbiaceae. The record is from RNAcentral.